GCCCCUGUAGCUCAGUUGGCCAGAGCUUCCGCCUUGUAAGCGGAGGGUCGCCGGUUCGAGUCCGGCCGGGGGCUCCA
This 77-nucleotide transfer RNA is filed under the name Micromonospora sp. CPCC 205371. RNAcentral's name for it is "tRNA-Thr". It matches the Rfam family "tRNA". Rfam says of the family: Transfer RNA (tRNA) molecules are approximately 80 nucleotides in length. Their secondary structure includes four short double-helical elements and three loops (D, anti-codon, and T loops). Further hydrogen bonds mediate the characteristic L-shaped molecular structure. tRNAs have two regions of fundamental functional importance: the anti-codon, which is responsible for specific mRNA codon recognition, and the 3' end, to which the tRNAs corresponding amino acid is attached (by aminoacyl-tRNA synthetases). tRNAs cope with the degeneracy of the genetic code in two manners: having more than one tRNA (with a specific anti-codon) for a particular amino acid; and 'wobble' base-pairing, i.e. permitting non-standard base-pairing at the 3rd anti-codon position. Lineage: Bacteria; Bacillati; Actinomycetota; Actinomycetes; Micromonosporales; Micromonosporaceae. The record is from RNAcentral. RNAcentral also lists the same sequence under 2 other names.